Molecule: ribosomal RNA, 425 nt
Filed under: uncultured bacterium
Lineage: Bacteria
Description: partial 16S ribosomal RNA
Rfam family: Bacterial small subunit ribosomal RNA
Source: RNAcentral
GUGGGGAAUAUUGGACAAUGGGCGAAAGCCUGAUCCAGCAAUGCCGCGUGAGUGAUGAAGGCCUUAGGGUUGUAAAGCUCUUUUACCCGGGAUGAUAAUGACAGUACCGGGAGAAUAAGCUCCGGCUAACUCCGUGCCAGCAGCCGCGGUAAUACGGAGGGAGCUAGCGUUGUUCGGAAUUACUGGGCGUAAAGCGCACGUAGGCGGCUUUGUAAGUUAGAGGUGAAAGCCUGGAGCUUAACUCCAGAACUGCCUUUAAGACUGCAUCGCUUGAAUCCAGGAGAGGUGAGUGGAAUUCCGAGUGUAGAGGUGAAAUUCGUAGAUAUUCGGAGGAACACCAGUGGCGAAGGCGGCUCACUGGCUCGAUACUGACGCUGAGGUGCGAAAGCGUGGGGAGCAAACAGGAUUAGAAACCCUUGUAGUCC